AGGACGAACGCUGGCGGCGUGCUUAACACAUGCAAGUCGAGCGGUAAGGCCCUUUCGGGGGUACACGAGCGGCGAACGGGUGAGUAACACGUGGGCGACCUGCCCUCAGCUCUGGGAUAAGCCUGGGAAACUGGGUCUAAUACCGGAUAUGACCUUCUCUCGCAUGGGGGUUGGUGGAAAGUUUUUCGGCUGGGGAUGGGCCCGCGGCCUAUCAGCUUGUUGGUGGGGUGAUGGCCUACCAAGGCGACGACGGGUAGCCGGCCUGAGAGGGCGACCGGCCACACUGGGACUGAGACACGGCCCAGACUCCUACGGGAGGCAGCAGUGGGGAAUAUUGCGCAAUGGGCGGAAGCCUGACGCAGCGACGCCGCGUGGGGGAUGACGGCCUUCGGGUUGUAAACCUCUUUCGACCUUGACGAAGCGAAGUGACGGUAGGGUAGAAGAAGCACCGGCCAACUACGCGCCAGCAGCCGC
RNAcentral lists this ribosomal RNA (474 nucleotides) under uncultured bacterium. RNAcentral's name for it is "SSU rRNA". It matches the Rfam family "Bacterial small subunit ribosomal RNA", at positions 26 to 518 of the family's 1533-position model. The record is from RNAcentral.